CAGUCGCCACGGUAAUACAGAGGGUGCAAGCGUUAAUCGGAAUUACUGGGCGUAAAGCGCGCGUAGGUGGUUUGUUAAGUUGGAUGUGAAAGCCCCGGGCUCAACCUGGGAACUGCAUCCAAAACUGGCAAGCUAGAGUACGGUAGAGGGUGGUGGAAUUUCCUGUGUAGCGGUGAAAUGCGUAGAUAUAGGAAGGAACACCAGUGGCGAAGGCGACCACCUGGACUGAUACUGACACUGAGGUGCGAAAGCGUGGGGAGCAAACAGGAUUAGAUACCCGAGUAGUCCCUGUCUCUUAUAA
This 301-nucleotide ribosomal RNA is filed under the name uncultured bacterium. RNAcentral's name for it is "partial 16S ribosomal RNA". It matches the Rfam family "Bacterial small subunit ribosomal RNA", at positions 509 to 809 of the family's 1533-position model. The record is from RNAcentral.